This 244-nucleotide unclassified non-coding RNA is filed under the name Hevea brasiliensis (rubber tree). Lineage: Eukaryota; Viridiplantae; Streptophyta; Magnoliopsida; Malpighiales; Euphorbiaceae. The record is from RNAcentral.
GCUCCAUUCUCUUGUCGUGAGUUUGAUUUUUUUCAGUCUUUUUCUUUUUAUUUAGUUAGGGGCUUUGCAGGCAGUAUGCCUUUAGGAUCCAUUUUCCUUUUUGCCUUGUACCAGCUCCCGAAACGACGCCGUAUUGCUUCCUGUUCCUUUCUUUCUUUCUUUUCUUUUAACUUUUCUGUCUUUUUCUGGUAACUUUUCUUUUCUUUUUUAAAUUCAUGCAUUUCAAAAGUCAAUUCAUACAAAC